UUUAUGUAUCAAACCCGAAAGGGGUAGGUGUAACCGUGUGUCGAAGUAUAAUAGUAACAGAUUGAGGUGUUUUUCGUGCAAACUAUGUGGCAAAAUAAUAUCGUUAAUAAGCAAAAAAACCUUCAGCUGGAAAAGUUACAUUCAAGGCUUGAAAGUCCUUUUCAGUAUUUAAAUAUGUGUGUGCCGUUCCAAUUGUUCUCCUCGUUUGAUGUAUCGCGAGAAUUUUGAAGGUUAACUAAUACGCCAGAUUUAUACCGAGGACGAGUACGUAUACUCAAAGAAGCUUAUAAAACGAUUUGAGAAGCUGCUGAUAAUUGGUUUUCAGAUGAAAACAGCGGAAGCUGCCGUUAAAUUUUUCAGUGGAAAUGAGAGAUUUUUUAAUCUGAAAAGAGUAGUUUAUUAAAUAUGUACAUAUGAUUAUAUGUAUAUACGUAGCUAUUAAAAAAUACAACUAAACCUCAAGAAAAUAGUGUUUUUAUCCUGAUAAAUAAUAUUAGAUAAAUCCGUUAGUAAAGGACCGAAAAGAUGCCACUGUUUGGCAAAAAAGAUUCAAGCAAAAAGAUGAAAAAGGAAAACAAAGACCUUAAUAAGCAAACAUCUAUAGAGGAAAAAUAUAACCUCCAUGGAUUGCUUGGGACAGUUGGCGCUCCCAUAUUGAAUAUCGGCGUGGACAUAUGCCCGGAUUCACAAAUAGCUUACAAAAUUGCAACUUUUCUGUUGGGGUGAUAAUUUUUCAAAUCAGAAAUAUUUUUAUUUGCCAGUUGGUGCGGCGGAUUAUACACAAACUAAGCAGACUGGUUGCUUUAAUUAAGAUGCAGUUUAUUCAGAAAUCACUGUUCUUUAUUUCGUAUUUUUUACUUAAAUUAAAGAGCUCAAUAGGCUUUAUAAGAAAAUAAACUAAGCGGGUUUAUCGAAUACAAAGCG
This is a long non-coding RNA of Anastrepha obliqua, 924 nucleotides long. RefSeq lists it as uncharacterized. The record is from RefSeq and is a predicted model, not a curated record. The transcript has 3 exons. NCBI's taxonomy places the organism in Eukaryota, Metazoa, Arthropoda, Insecta, Diptera, Tephritidae.